This 458-nucleotide ribosomal RNA is filed under the name uncultured bacterium. Its description in RNAcentral is "bacterial SSU rRNA". It matches the Rfam family "Bacterial small subunit ribosomal RNA", at positions 346 to 802 of the family's 1533-position model. The record is from RNAcentral.
AGGCAGCAGUGAGGAAUAUUGGUCAAUGGGAGAGAUCCUGAACCAGCCAAGCCGCGUGAGGGAAGACGGCCCUAUGGGUUGUAAACCUCUUUUGUCGGAGAACAAAACCCGGGACGUGUCCCGGACUGCGUGUAUCCGAAGAAAAAGCAUCGGCUAACUCCGUGCCAGCAGCCGCGGUAAUACGGAGGAUGCGAGCGUUAUCCGGAUUUAUUGGGUUUAAAGGGUGCGUAGGCGGUCCGUUAAGUCAGCGGUAAAAUUGCGGGGCUCAACCCCGUCGAGCCGUUGAAACUGGCAGACUUGAGUUGGCGAGAAGUACGCGGAAUGCGCGGUGUAGCGGUGAAAUGCAUAGAUAUCGCGCAGAACUCCGAUUGCGAAGGCAGCGUACCGGCGCCAGACUGACGCUGAGGCACGAAAGCGUGGGGAUCGAACAGGAUUCGAUACCCUGGUAGUCCACGCAG